This 178-nucleotide ribosomal RNA is filed under the name uncultured bacterium. RNAcentral's name for it is "partial 16S ribosomal RNA". It matches the Rfam family "Bacterial small subunit ribosomal RNA", at positions 338 to 508 of the family's 1533-position model. The record is from RNAcentral.
CCUACGGGAGGCAGCAGUGGGGAAUUUUGGACAAUGGGCGCAAGCCUGAUCCAGCCAUGCCGCGUGCAGGAUGAAGGCCUUCGGGUUGUAAACUGCUUUUGUACGGAACGAAAAGACUCUGGAUAAUACCUGGGGUCCAUGACGGUACCGUAAGAAUAAGCACCGGCUAACUACGUGC